UCGAACGAGACCUUCGGGUCUAGUGGCGCACGGGUGCGUAACGCGUGGGAAUCUGCCCUUUGCUUCGGAAUAACAGUUAGGAAUGACUGCUAAUACCGGAUGAUGUCUUCGGACCAAAGAUUUAUCGGCAAAGGAUGAGCCCGCGUAGGAUUAGGUAGUUGGUGGGGUAAAGGCCUACCAAGCCGACGAUCCUUAGCUGGUCUGAGAGGAUGAUCAGCCACACUGGGACUGAGACACGGCCCAGACUCCUACGGGAGGCAGCAGUGGGGAAUAUUGGACAAUGGGCGAAAGCCUGAUCCAGCAAUGCCGCGUGAGUGAUGAAGGCCUUCGGGUCGUAAAGCUCUUUUACCAGGGGUGAUAAUGACAGUACCUGGAGAAUAAGCUCCGGCUAACUCCGUGCCAGCAGCCGCGGUAAUACGGAGGGAGCUAGCGUUGUUCGGAAUUACUGGGCGUAAAGAGUACGUAGGCGGCUAUUCAAGUCAGAGGUGAAAGCCCGGGGCUCAACCCCGGAACUGCCUUUGAAACUAGGUAGCUAGAAUCUUGGAGAGGUCAGUGGAAUUCCGAGUGUAGAGGUGAAAUUCGUAGAUAUUCGGAAGAACACCAGUGGCGAAGGCGACUGACUGGACAAGUA
This 631-nucleotide ribosomal RNA is filed under the name uncultured Novosphingobium sp. RNAcentral's name for it is "bacterial SSU rRNA". It matches the Rfam family "Bacterial small subunit ribosomal RNA", at positions 62 to 739 of the family's 1533-position model. The record is from RNAcentral. Lineage: Bacteria; Pseudomonadati; Pseudomonadota; Alphaproteobacteria; Sphingomonadales; Sphingomonadaceae.